RNAcentral lists this ribosomal RNA (478 nucleotides) under uncultured bacterium. RNAcentral's name for it is "partial 16S ribosomal RNA". It matches the Rfam family "Bacterial small subunit ribosomal RNA", at positions 28 to 523 of the family's 1533-position model. The record is from RNAcentral.
GACGAACGCUGGCGGCGUGCUUAACACAUGCAAGUCGAACGGUAAGGCCCUUCGGGGUACACGAGUGGCGAACGGGUGAGUAACACGUGGGUGAUCUGCCCUGCACUUCGGGAUAAGCCUGGGAAACUGGGUCUAAUACCGGAUAGGACCACUGCCUGCAUGGGUGGUGGUGGAAAGCUUUUGCGGUGUGGGAUGGGCCCGCGGCCUAUCAGCUUGUUGGUGGGGUGAUGGCCUACCAAUGCGACGACGGGUAGCCGGCCUGAGAGGGGGACCGGCCAGACAGGGACUGAGAUACGGCCCAGACUCCUACGGGAGGCAGCAGUGGGGAAGAUUGCACAAUGGGCGCAAGCCUGAUGCAGCGACGCCGCGUGAGGGAUGACGGCCUUCGGGUUGUAAACCUCUUUCAGCCCCGACGAAGCGCAAGUGACGGUAGGUGCAGAAGAAGGACCGGCCAACUACGUGCCAGCCGCCGCUGUAA